AUCUCGGCUCUCGCAUCGAUGAAGAACGUAGCGAAAUGCGAUACUUGGUGUGAAUUGCAGAAUCCCGUGAACCAUCGAGUCUUUGAACGCAAGUUGCGCCCGAAGCCAUUAGGCCGAGGGCACGUCUGCCUGGGCGUCACGCAUCUCGUCGCCCCCGCGCA
Molecule: ribosomal RNA, 161 nt
Filed under: Symonanthus bancroftii
Lineage: Eukaryota; Viridiplantae; Streptophyta; Magnoliopsida; Solanales; Solanaceae
Description: 5.8S ribosomal RNA
Rfam family: 5.8S ribosomal RNA (bases 1-139)
About the family: 5.8S ribosomal RNA (5.8S rRNA) is a component of the large subunit of the eukaryotic ribosome. It is transcribed by RNA polymerase I as part of the 45S precursor that also contains 18S and 28S rRNA. Functionally, it is thought that 5.8S rRNA may be involved in ribosome translocation.
Source: RNAcentral